Molecule: unclassified non-coding RNA, 309 nt
Organism: Vulpes vulpes (red fox)
Lineage: Eukaryota; Metazoa; Chordata; Mammalia; Carnivora; Canidae
Gene: 7SK
Rfam family: 7SK RNA
About the family: 7SK was discovered as an abundant small nuclear RNA in the mid-70s but a possible function has only recently been suggested. Two independent studies have found that 7SK RNA binds the CDK9/cyclin T complex (known as elongation factor P-TEFb). P-TEFb activates transcription by phosphorylating the C-terminal domain of RNA polymerase II.
Source: Ensembl
GGAUGCAAGGGCAAUCUGGCUGCUACAUCUGUUACUCCAUUGAUUUGAGCGAUCUGGCUGGCUAGGCGAGCCUUCCUCCAUCAUGGCUCCAUGUGUGUGUCCCUCCAGAAGCUCUGUGCUGAGACGAUGACCUUCCCCAACAGGAGAGGACAAUUCUUCUGUCAAGAGCAUAGGAGUAGCUGUGCUCCCAUACUAAAAUCUCCAAACAAGCUCUUAAGGACCAUUUGUAGUACAAUGUAGAGUACUCAAGCUUCCAAGACUCUAGACACAGCUAAAUGAGGUGCUGUAUGUGGCAGUCUGUCUUUCUUA